AUGUUUGAUUGCAACGGCGAAUCCCAGCAGCAGGUAGGGGAUGGAAUCUGGGCUGAACUCAGGGAGAAUGAAGACCAUAUAACACCUUGUCCCAAGGAUACGAAGGAUAGUAGAUCAAUCUGUGUUCGAGACCAGAAGAAGAAUGAUGAUGAAGCAGCUAGUGUUGUGGGCCUUACUGAAUGUACUUCAUGGGGUCAAACUGAACAUCCUGGUUUGGAAAAGCAGGCUGCCACUGAGGCUAGUGGACAUUAUUCAGCUACACAACUUGACAUAGAAUCCUGGCCUGACCUGCCUCUCCUGAGCACUACAUUUGAUAGAAACUACAAUGACGAUAAUAUAGCAUCAACAUAUUUGGAUUUCAAUUCUGCAUCUAGUACAAAAAGUUACCAGAAGCGUGUCAGCCCAUAUACAGUGCAGCUGGAUGGUGAACCUGAAAUGUUUGGCAAUGAGCAUGAAGAAAAGAGCAACAACUUUCUCGACUGUGACUGGGGCAAUAUUGGAGAUUUUGAUGAUUUUGACUACUUGUUUAGCAACACUGAAGCCUUAUUUGGAAAUGAGAUGAUUGUUAAUGGCAGUGAUUUCCUUGUUACGAGUUCAGAUGUGGUUGACGGUACUGUACAAUCAAUCCCCUUUCCGGGAGAUGUAGAGAAGAGACCAAUGAAAUCACAAAGAAAACCAGAUGAAGGAAGCAAAAGUAAAACAUCCAACAAUACAAGUGGUUUCUCCCAGAACCAAGGACACCAGCAACCAGACAGUUUGCAUUCAUUAUCCGAACCUCCUGUCCAGCAUUUUCAGACUCGUCAAUAUGCACUGCUCCACGAUAGCAAGAAUAUGGAGCAAUUUCAAGAUGCUAUUCAGCUUGCAUUCCCUGGCUAUGGAUGUCCUGCAUAUCCGUGUCCUACCAUUCCGGCGGUGUCAAAUAUUCAGGCUGAAGGCCAUCAGACAAACCCAAAGGCUGCAUGUUACCAAACUUCAGUAGAUCCUCUGAAGCAAUCAAGUUCCACAGAAAAGCCACAAGAUAUGCCAUCAAGGGCACUGAUGAUGACACCCCAGGAAAAGAUUGAAAAGCUUAGGCGCCGGCAACAACAACAAGCCCUGAGAGCUAUUCAACAACAGCAGCAGCAAUUUCGUCAAGAGGGUUCGGGCAGGGACACUUUGGUACCUCGAGCAUACUCCCGAAAGAAGAACUCAGAUUCAUUAGGGAGUUCAGGUAUCAUAGACGAAAAUGCACCAGAGCAGACUUCAGCUUGUCGUAAAGAGAUUCAUAAGAAUUCUGGAAUUCCUAAUGAUCCCUUUAUAGAGGAAAAAAUAUAUUAUGAGCUUAAAGAUGCCCUUGGGAAGCUGGAUGCUAGAACUCGACUCUGCAUUCGAGACAGUCUGCUUCGAUUGGCUCAGAGUUCCUCGCAGAGACAAAUUGCUGGUGACAGAACUAGCAGUAACAAGACUAAAAGAGAUGAAGAUGAAGUUUCAGAAAAUGACUCAUCCAACAGGAGAAAAAGAUCUCUGGUGAAGGAAGCAGAAACAGACACCAAUCCAAUUGAUCGAAUUGUAGCCCAUUUGCUGUUUCAUAGACCAUGUUCGACGGUUGCAACACUUGCAAAGGAAGAAAUUGCAUCCUUGACUCUGAUGUCACUUGAAGCUGAUUCCAAGAUGCCUGGGGCCACGCCUGGGCGGCCAUCAGGAGAUCAACAGACUGCGCAGGAAAUGGCAAUUCAGCCUUCAGUGUAA
This 1728-nucleotide ribosomal RNA is filed under the name Triticum aestivum (bread wheat). RNAcentral describes it as "partial small subunit ribosomal RNA". The record is from RNAcentral. Lineage: Eukaryota; Viridiplantae; Streptophyta; Magnoliopsida; Poales; Poaceae.